RNA transcript from Brachypodium distachyon (stiff brome), 5595 nucleotides. It is a transcript of the gene named putative disease resistance RPP13-like protein 3, with no coding region annotated. Lineage: Eukaryota; Viridiplantae; Streptophyta; Magnoliopsida; Poales; Poaceae. The record is from RefSeq and is a predicted model, not a curated record. The transcript is spliced from 4 exons.
UCCAGGACACACUCUUCCAACUAAUUUUAUAAACUAAUACUGUUGCGACAAAUACUAAUUUCUUUUUCAAAGUGGGUUAGUAGUUGGGAAUGCAGAACAAUAAAAUAGAACAUAAUAAAAAAGUCAUCCAAUAAAUCGAACCUUGGGAAAUUUUUAGUCAGAAAGUAGACAAAUAUCUAGCAAGAGUUACCAAGUCUCGUCCUUCAGGUUAGCCCAGUUCUCUUCUUUCUUUUUGUGCUAAAGUUCACACCUCUCUUUCUUGUUCAUCAUCUUACUACUUGGUAUUGCUCUUGGUCCUACGAAAAAGGUGAAUCAUGGCCAGUGCGCUGGUGAGUGCUUUCACAGGAUCGAUGGACUCGCUCCUCAGAAAGCUCUCCACUAUGUUGGAGAGAGAGUACGCGAAGAACAGAAGGAUCGAGAAGGAUUUGUUCUUCCUGCGAAAUGAGCUGAGCAGCAUGAAAGCGGUAAUACAGAAGUAUGCGAUGCAGAAUGAUCCUGAUUUGCAAGUGAAGGCUUGGAUGAAGGAGGUGCGGGAGCUAGCUUACGACAUCGAGGACACCAUUGAUGAUUUCAUGGUCCAAGAUGAAGAAAAUCCAGAUGAGCCAACAGGCAUCAAGGCGUUUGUCAUCAACAAUAUCAGGAAGCUGAAGGAACUUUUUUCGAGGUGUAAUAUUGCAGAAGAGAUUGCAGAACUGAAAAGUCAAGUUGUCGAGGUGAGCGAUCGCAGAAAAAGGUACAAGCUUGAUGAGUCGAUCUCCAUGGCUAGUGAUGUUGCCGUGGACCCUCGUCUGCCUGCAAUCUAUGCUGAAGUAGGAGGAAUUGUGGGUAUCGAUGGUGAGAGAGACAAAAUAAUCAAGUUGCUAAUUGAGGCGGAGGCAGAUGGUGGGUCUUGGCAACAGCUAAAAGUGGUGUCCAUCGUGGGGUUUGGAGGUUUGGGCAAAACUACUCUGACCUACCAAGUGUAUCAGAAAAUCAAAGGUCAAUUUGAUUGCGCUGCUUUCGUGUUUGUAUCUCAAAGGCCUAAUGUGAAGCGGAUUCUUUUGGAUAUACUCUCUGAACUUGGUACUCCUGGUAACAUGUGGGAUCAUGAGCGGCAACUCAUCAACAUGAUUAGAGAAUUUCUGCACGACAAGAGGUACUUAAUUGUAAUUGAUGAUAUCUGGAGCAUAUCAGCUUGGGAGAUAUUGAAGUGUGUGUUGCCUUACAACAAUUCAUGUAGCAGAAUAAUUACUACUACACGUGUUGUUGACGUAGCCGUAACUUGCUGCUCUAGCUUUGGAGUUGAAGGCCAUAUUUAUCGCAUCAAACCAUUGCGUGAGGAUGACUCCAGAAGGUUGUUUUUGAAAAGAAUUUUUCAUACUGAGCACAGUUGUCCCUCACAUUUGGAAGAAGUCUCCAAUGCAAUUUUAAGAAAAUGUGGCGGUUUGCCAUUGGCCAUACUUAAUAUUGCUGGUUUGUUGGCUACGAAACCCAGCACAAAGGAUGAGUGGGAGUUGGUGCUAAACUCAAUUGGCUCAGCACUUGACAACAGUAACACUUUACAAGGUAUGAGAGAGAUAUUAUUGCUUAGCUUCUAUGAUCUACCUCAUCAUUUGAAGACCUGUUUGUUAUAUUUAAGUAUAUAUCCAGAGGAUUAUAAGAUAAAGACCAAAGAUUUGAAAAGGAGAUGGAUAUCUGAAGGAUUUAUUGCUGAAGAACGGGGUAAAAGAUUGGACCAAGUAGCUCAGAGUUACCUUAAUGAUCUUAUUAAUAGAAGUAUGAUCUUACCAGUGAGUAUGGGGUAUGAUGGCAGUGUACAAUAUUGUCAAGUCCAUGACAUGGUGCUCAAUAUUCUAAUAUCUAUGUCAACCGAAGCUAAUUUUGUUACCAUAAUAGAUGGACAGAAGCCUUUCUCUUUGCCAAAAAGGAUUCGCCGAUUGUCCCUUCAGUGCAAUAAUUCAGAAGAUGCAGUAACACAAACAGCCUUAACAAAACAAUCUUCUCUUCGUUCAGUUAGUAUCUUUGGGUUUACAAAGGAAGUACCAAAUAUUGUGAACUUCCACGCUUUGCGUGUUUUGGACUUGUCUUAUUGUGAUUGGCUGAAGAACAACCAUAUUGAAUGUAUAGGGAGUAUGCUUCAGUUGAGGUACCUAGUGCUUUACUCCAGAUUUAUAAGUGAGCUUCCUGAAAGAAUAGGGAAAUUGGAACAGUUAGAGAUAGUGGAUGUACGACUGUGUCCUAUACGAGCACUUCCCGAUGCAACUAUUCGAUUGCAAAAGCUAGUUUGUCUGAAUGUAAGUGUUGUAACGAAGCUACCAGAAAUGAUUGGAAAUAUGCAAUGUUUGGAAGAACUGUCACAUGUUGUCAUCCCAAGCUACUCGAUAAGGUUGGUUCAAGAGCUUAGAUGUCUUGCAAAACUGAGAGAGCUUGUAAUAACUGUCGAAGAACCUAUUGAGAUGGGAAGUUAUGGGGGGCAAUUUAGGGAAGCUUUGGUAUGUUCUCUUUGCGAAUUAGGCAGACAAAACCUUCAAGAUCUCUCACUUGGUUACAAAGGUAAUGAACGUUUCAUUCUAGAUUCAUUAAUGGUUUCAUGCUCUGCACUUCAACAUCUCCGAAAGUUUGCCAUUACGAAGCCUGUUUCGAUGGUGCCAAAGUGGAUGAGCACGUUUGCCAGUCUGAAACACCUGGAACUAUACAUCUCAAGAAUGGCAGAAAUUGAUAUUGACAUACUGAAAGAACUGUCCACUCUGCUCUAUCUCCGCCUUGUCUUUACGGGGCAUGCGCCAAAUGGAAAGAUAGUCAUCGGCAGCCAAGGAUUCCAAUCUUUAAAAGAUUUCAGUCUCAUAUGUUUUAUUUCUGGGAUGUGGCUAGUGUUUGCACCAGGAGCUAUGCAGAAGUUACAAACAUAUCACCUUACUUUCAAGUUACCGGAGGCAUGUUCUGACGGUGCUGAUUUCUAUUUCGGUCUUGGGCAUCUUUCAAGCCUCCAACAUGUCAAUGUGAUAAUCGUUCCUGUUGGCUCCACGAAUGAGGACACAACGACUGCAGAGGCAGCAAUCAAGAGUGAAAGCGACCUUCGUCCCAAUAAACCAACAACUGAAACUGGAAUAUGGUCAUAGGAUUGAGAGGUGAAGGACAGGCUGUAUUGAUACCCCUCUCCGAUCUUAAAUGCUGAGGCACCGGUGCAGCAACGGAAAUGAACACCACACGAGGCCACGAUCGAAUACGUACAAUUCUGGCGUGCACCAAAUGGAAGGCAAAAGCAUGGCUAUAUGGGCCUCAUUUUCUGGCAUGUUCUGUGUCUCUACAUGUGGCGCAUGUUCAGGCUGCUGCAGCUCCCUUUCAUGUGCAACAAUGGGUUGAGUCGGCUCCUAAAGGACAGGUUCCGGACCUUCACUCAUUGUUGCCAUGUGUGGAGUCACAACAGGUGUCGGCACCACGAUCUCAGGGAUUGUCGGUGCGGCAACAACAGGUAGUGAAAAGAAUGGCUCUUGAGUCAUCGGAUUAGGUGCAUGCACCCUCUUCUCCUCAAGAUCAACUUUCCGAGCUACCGUGCUCCCCCUCGUCAUUUCGUCCUCUAAGAAGACGGUGUGUCUCGUUUCCACAAACUUUGUGUAUUUGUCUGGACAGUAGAAACGAAAACCUUUUGAUCUUUCAGGGUAGCCAAUGAAAUGGCAACUUACUGUCUUGGUAUCCAACUUUGCAAUAUUUGGGUUAAACAUUUUGGCCUCAGCUGGGCUCCCCCACACCCGCAGGUGUUGUAGAGAGGGCACUAUUCCUGUCCACAGCUCGUACGGUGUUUUGGGCACCGACUUGCUUGGCACUCUAUUGAGAAUGUGAAUGGCGGUUUUUAAUGCCUCCAUCCACAAUCCCAAUGGUAAUGUGGAAUAACUCAUCAUACUGCGCACCAUAUCCAUAAGGGUACGGUUACGCCUUUCAGCUACUCCAUUUUGCUGAGGCUCGCCCGGCAUUGAAUACUGAGCAAUUAUUCUAGUCUCCUGUAGGAACCUUGCAAAAGGCCCAGGGACUUGGCCGUAUGGGGUGUGCCCACCGUAGUACCCCCCCCCCCCUCACGGUCGGGUCUUACUAUCUUUAUCUUUUUAUCAUGCUGAUUUUCAACUUCAGCCUUGAAUAUUUUAAAUUUAUCCAAUGCUUCUGACCUUUCUUUUAUUGGAUAAAUGUAACCAUAACGGGAGUAGUCGUCUGUGAAUGUUAUGAACAAAUCAUAACCAUCCACACUUUUCACAGGAAAUGGUCCACAAAUGAUAGUGUGAAUAAUUUCGAGUGUGCUGGUGCUACGUAUUGCACCCUUUUUUAUUUGUUUUACACACUUUCCUUUGAUGCAAUCUACGCAUUGCUCUAUUUCUGAGAACUCUAAUGGAGGAAGAAUUUCUGUUUGUGCAAUUUAAUCUAUAUCACCGUUGGGCAAAAAAUAGAAUUAAAUGCACACUUUAACCAUUAAUCAUGAUCAUGCUAUUAAUGACGUUGGUCAAGAAAAAAUAACAGGAUCACAAUUAACAUAAAACACUUUUAAUCAUGUUCUUUGCAUAUUGAAACAACACUUUUAAACUAUUUGCAGCGGAAACUAUGAACAAAAAUUAUAACUUUAUACUUUUCAGAAGCAUUAUUUUGCACUUUUCUAUUUCCUAAAACAAACAUCUCGUUGGUUCAGUUUGAAUAGGAUAAAAAUUAUACCAAAAAACAGCAAAACUGAAUAUAUACAGCAAAAAUUAAUGCCUCUGUUAGAAAAAAAGAAAAAACGGCGGCGGGAGGUGGAGCUUCCCGUUACUCUUGUGCGGAACUCUAGAUCGGUAGGCGGUUGUUCGGUGGGGUGUGCGGCACAGCGACGAACCUUGUGUUGCGUGCCGCCGCCCCCACCUCUUUAUAUUGAACAGUGUAACAGGGCCCUGCCAACCAUAAUGGGUUGGGCGUCCCCGAUUAGGGCGCUGUGGAUCUAAGGGCCCGGUGGGCCGUUGGGCCCACUCGGGUAGAGAUCACUCUAACAAUUGUCUCUUCUCCGGCCGUGUUUCACGUUAAGUCUUUGGAGGAUGCACACGUCACCGCUUUGCUGGCUAGAACUGAACAACGAAUUAAUUUGAUAUGCACGGGGCAUUAUUUGUUGGUACGCGUGCACGUCGUUUGCUCUUCUAGCGCCUUGCGCGUUCGUGUAUCACGUCCUCUUUUGUUCUUUUCUCGAAACAAAGCUGUCGACUGAGGAACUAAUCAAGGCGUACGUAUUAACCCUUAGAUCAUUCAACAACGCAGAGAAGUGUUAAUAACUGUGACCGUGAGCUGGGAAAGGAAACGUACAUCACAUGGAGGUAGUACCAACAAACGAUAUGUCAUGUCAGUGUGAUUAGCCGGGACGUAACGCGCCUAUACACGCGGAUCAUCAUCGGUCCUUCAAUUCCGUCCGUACGUCCUCGCCACAAGGUUCUCCAAGUAUAUAAACAGACGCAUGGUGAGGUUCGAAUUGGAGCAUCAAGAAUAAGCUAGCAGGACCCAAUAAGAUCAAUACAUACAUCGAUCUAGCGAGCUCGGUGAAGUAAUAUUACAAUGCACAAGAGUGUUUAGGUACGCCGCGGUUGCUUGUCGGGAGCAGAAAUGGACUCACAG